Molecule: ribosomal RNA, 274 nt
Filed under: uncultured bacterium
Lineage: Bacteria
Description: partial 16S ribosomal RNA
Rfam family: Bacterial small subunit ribosomal RNA
Source: RNAcentral
AUACGGGGGGUGCAAGCGUUAUUCGGAUUUAUUGGGCGUAAAGGGCGCGUAGGCGGCUUGGAAAGUCAGAUGUGAAAGCCCGGGGCUCAACCCCGGAAGUGCAUUUGAAACUAUCAGGCUUGAGUAUGGGAGAGGGAAGUGGAAUUCCUGGUGUAGAGGUGAAAUUCGUAGAUAUCAGGAGGAACACCGGUGGCGAAGGCGACUUCCUGGACCAAUACUGACGCUGAGGCGCGAAGGCGUGGGGAGCAGACAGGAUUAGAUACCCCAGUAGUCC